This 575-nucleotide small RNA is filed under the name Pongo abelii (Sumatran orangutan). RNAcentral describes it as "processed transcript". The record is from RNAcentral. Lineage: Eukaryota; Metazoa; Chordata; Mammalia; Primates; Hominidae.
UGCUACCAUUCGCUCCUCAGGACGAACCCUGGGACCGAGAAAUGGAAGUGUUCAGCGGCGGCGGCGCGAGCAGCGGCGAGUUUGCUGGCUGGGAACAUUUUGGGGGACAGCUGCGGACUCCAGCUCGCUGUUGAACCCCGGGCGCUUUACGAACCCAGUGCAACAAACACACCAAGAAAGUUGGAUCCUUUUCUGAUAACUUAAUCGACUGCGUACUACUCCAGUAGAGGCCACCAUACACCUCCUAAAAAUAGUUGGUGAAAUUGAUUCACAGUAGGAUAUUUUGAGUAUGUUUUAGGUAUUGUAGAGAUUUAACAAUGGGUCUCUCUACCUCAGCAAUUUGGAAAAAUACUCGAGUGGAAAUUGUUAAUCCCUAUGAAGUAAAACGAAAGGUGAAGGUAAAUGGUCUUAAAAUGGUUGAUGAGCCAAUGGAAGAGGGAGAAGCAGAUUCUUGUCAUGAUGAAGGAGUUGUUAAAGAAAUCCCUAUUACUCAUCAUGUUAAGGAAGGCUAUGAGAAAGCAGAUCCUGCACAGUUUGAGUUGCUCAAGGUUCUUGGUCAGGGGUCAUUUGGAAAG